RNAcentral lists this ribosomal RNA (253 nucleotides) under uncultured bacterium. Its description in RNAcentral is "partial 16S ribosomal RNA". It matches the Rfam family "Bacterial small subunit ribosomal RNA", at positions 524 to 776 of the family's 1533-position model. The record is from RNAcentral.
UACGAAGGUGGCAAGCGUUACUCGGAAUUACUAGGCGUAAAGGGCAGGUAGGUGGUUCGAUAAGUCUGUUGUGAAAGCUCCCGGCUCAACUGGGAGAGGCCAACAGAAACUAUCGGACUUGAGUUUGGGAGAGGUUACUGGAAUUCCCGGUGUAGCGGUGAAAUGCGCAGAGAUCGGGAGGAACACCAAUGGCGAAAGCAGGUAACUGGACCAAUACUGACACUCAACUGCGAAAGCUAGGGGAGCAAACAGG